Molecule: ribosomal RNA, 498 nt
Filed under: uncultured Glomeromycotina
Lineage: Eukaryota; Fungi; Glomeromycota
Description: partial small subunit ribosomal RNA
Rfam family: Eukaryotic small subunit ribosomal RNA
Source: RNAcentral
CCAAUAGCGUAUAUUAAAGUUGUUGCAGUUAAAAAGCUCGUAGUUGAAUUUCGGGAUCAAUAUGUUGGUCGUGCCUUGGUACGUACUGGCGUCAUUGGUUUCUACCUUCUGAAGAACCUCGAUGUCAUUAAUUUGGUGUCUUGGGGAAUCAGGACUGUUACUUUGAAAAAAUUAGAGUGUUUAAAGCAAGCUCACGCUUGAAUACAUUAGCAUGGAAUAAUGAAAUAGGACGUUUGAUUCUAUUUUGUUGGUUUCUAGGAUCGACGUAAUGAUUAAUAGGGAUAGUUGGGGGCAUUAGUAUUCAAUUGUCAGAGGUGAAAUUCUUGGAUUUAUUGAAGACUAACUACUGCGAAAGCAUUUGCCAAGGAUGUUUUCAUUAAUCAAGAACGAAAGUUAGGGGAUCGAAGACGAUCAGAUACCGUCGUAGUCUUAACCAUAAACUAUGCCGACUAGGGAUCGGGGGAUGUUAAUUUUUUAAUGACUCAUUCGGCGCCUUAC